Molecule: ribosomal RNA, 520 nt
Filed under: Setophaeosphaeria sidae
Lineage: Eukaryota; Fungi; Ascomycota; Dothideomycetes; Pleosporales; Phaeosphaeriaceae
Description: eukaryotic LSU rRNA
Rfam family: 5.8S ribosomal RNA (bases 174-327)
Source: RNAcentral
UUCCGUAGGUGAACCUGCGGAAGGAUCAUUAUCAAUUAUAGGCGGCAGCAAUGCCACUAUACACCCUUUGUCUUUUGCGUACUGUAUGUUUCCUCGGUGGGCUCGCCCGCCGAUAGGACACUUUAAAACCUUUUGUAAUUGCAAUCAGCGUCAGAAAUAACUAUAAUAGUUACAACUUUCAACAACGGAUCUCUUGGUUCUGGCAUCGAUGAAGAACGCAGCGAAAUGCGAAAAGUAGUGUGAAUUGCAGAAUUCAGUGAAUCAUCGAAUCUUUGAACGCACAUUGCGCCCCUUGGUAUUCCAUGGGGCAUGCCUGUUCGAGCGUCAUUUGUACCCUCAAGCUCUGCUUGGUGUUGGGUGUUUGUCUCGCCGUUGCGCGCAGACUCGCCUUAAAGCAAUUGGCAGCCGGCAAAAGCCUGGGAGCGCAGCACAUGCGUUGCUUUCAGACUGCUUGUCGAGCGUCCAGCAAGCCUAUUAUUCUUGCGUUUGACCUCGGAUCAGGUAGGGAUACCCGCUGAAC